CACUUUGACUGUGUGAAGAAUUACAUGCUGGAGCAUCUCGCAUGAUGAAAAAGAUUGAUUGCACAGUGGCAGACUCUCCAGGGACUGUGUGCGAUGGGUCCCCAGAGUAUCCAGAAGCAGAGGCAGAGGAAGGAGCCGCUUCAGGCGUGGAGCUCUUCCAAAUACGCAGACGUUCCAGCCGGAACCUGCAGCUGCCCCCGUUGGUCUUCCGGCAAGCUGAGCAACAUGACUGGAACAGCAAAGAGACUGAGCCGAUUGCCCGUCCAACCACUCUGGCGCUGCGCAUCCCCCCGCUCAUCGCCAUCACAUCUGCUGACGCCGGCAGCUUUGACGUGGACAAUGGCACGUCGUCAGGACGGAGUCCCCUGGAUCCCAUGACGAGUCCGGGUUCGGGCCUGAUCCUUCAGGCUAACUUUGUGCACAGCCAGCGGAGGGAAUCCUUCCUCUACCGCUCCGACAGCGACUAUGACCUGUCGCCGAAGUCGAUGUCGCGAAACUCCUCCAUCGCCAGUGACAUUCAUGGAGAUGACCUCAUCGUCACGCCGUUUGCACAGGUGCUGGCUAGUUUGAGGACGGUACGGAAUAACUUUGCAGCGUUAACCAACCUCCAGCAAGAUCGAACAUCCAACAAGCGAUCCCCCAUGUGUAAUCAGCCUCCUCUCUCAAAGGCCUCCUUCACAGAGGAGGCCUACCAGAAACUGGCCACCGAGACCCUGGAGGAGCUGGACUGGUGCCUGGACCAGCUGGAGACCCUGCAGACCCGACACUCCGUCAGCGAGAUGGCCUCCAACAAGUUCAAGCGGAUGUUGAACAGGGAGUUAACGCACCUGUCUGAGAUGAGCAGAUCUGGUAACCAGGUCUCAGAGUUCAUCUCCAACACAUUUUUAGACAAACAGCACGAUGUGGAAAUGCCCUCCCCGCAGACGCAGAAGGAGAAGGAGAAGAAGAAAAAGCCCAUGUGUCAGAUCAGCGGAGUGAAAAAACUCAUGCACAGCACCAGCCUCACCAAUUCCAACAUCCCUCGCUUCGGGGUCAAGACGGAUACGGAAGACUCCUUAGCCAAGGAACUGGAGGACAUAAACAAAUGGGGCCUUAAUGUUUUUAAAGUCACAGAGUUUUCAGGCAACAGGCCUUUAACGGUGAUGAUGCACACUAUAUUUCAGGUGAGACCGAUCACCUUUAUUUACUUUGCUCAUAAAUGUCUUGUGGUGCACAAUAAUGUCUGCUCUCACUCACCGUACAUCCACAUGUUGUUCUUUCAGGCGGUUUUCACAGACCUUGAAAUUCUCGCUGCCAUUUUCGCCAGUGCUAUUCAUGAUGUGGACCACCCGGGUGUCUCCAACCAGUUCCUUAUUAACACCAACUCGGAGUUGGCCCUCAUGUACAACGACUCGUCGGUGCUGGAAAACCAUCAUCUGGCGGUGGGCUUCAAACUCCUGCAGGAGGAGAACUGUGACAUCUUCCAGAACCUGACCAAAAAACAGAGACAGUCGCUGCGCAAGAUGGUCAUCGACAUCGUCUUGGCGACUGAUAUGUCCAAACACAUGAACCUGCUGGCUGAUCUGAAGACCAUGGUCGAGACCAAGAAGGUCACCAGUUCUGGAGUCUUGCUCUUGGAUAACUACUCAGACAGGAUACAAGUGCUUCAGAACAUGGUUCACUGUGCGGAUCUCAGUAACCCCACCAAACCCCUGGAGCUGUACAAACAGUGGACGGACCGCAUCAUGGAGGAGUUCUUCAGUCAGGGCGACCGAGAGAGAGAGCGAGGGAUGGAGAUCAGCCCCAUGUGUGACAAACACAACGCCUCUGUAGAGAAGUCUCAGGUGGGCUUCAUUGACUACAUCGUGCACCCGCUGUGGGAGACGUGGGCCGACCUCGUACACCCGGACGCCCAGGACAUCCUGGACACGUUAGAGGACAACAGAGAGUGGUACCAGAGCACCAUCCCACAGAGCCCAUCGCCCGCUCCCGACCAGUCCGAGGAGGGCAGCCGCUCCACUGGAGCAGAUAAGUUCCAGUUUGAACUGACGCUGGAGGAGGACGGAGAAUCAGACACGGAGAAAGACAGCGGCAGCCAGGAGGAGGAUGACAACAGCUGUAGUGAUUCCAAAACUCUGAUCACGCAGGACUCGGAAUCCACCGAGAUUCCAGAAGCGGAGGAGGGAAUUUCAGAGAUUUCCAGGGACCCCAGCAUGGUGGAGGAGGAGGAGGAAGAUGAGGAAGAUGAGGAGGAGCAGCCAGGAGACACGUAG
Molecule: long non-coding RNA, 2252 nt
Organism: Cyprinus carpio (common carp)
Lineage: Eukaryota; Metazoa; Chordata; Actinopteri; Cypriniformes; Cyprinidae
Source: Ensembl